RNAcentral lists this long non-coding RNA (240 nucleotides) under Rattus norvegicus (Norway rat). RNAcentral describes it as "long non-coding RNA NONRATT007269". Lineage: Eukaryota; Metazoa; Chordata; Mammalia; Rodentia; Muridae. The record is from RNAcentral.
CUCUGAGAAAUUCUCCUCCCGGAGAAUAUUCCACAAAUCAACAGCCCAGCUCUAUAACCUGAAACUCAAGGAGCAAGGUGUUGAGGAGGAAGAACUGGAGCCCAGACUACGGCAGGGCGGGAGGAACACUCCAUACUGGUACUUCCUUCAGUGCAAACGUCUGCUCAAGGAAGGAAAGGUCUGAGAUGUAAUGGGACUUACCUUGUGUCCCCGGCCCUUUAAGAACUGCUUGACUCUGCG